CGCUGCGGCUAAGUCCUCCGUGCUAAUCGGUUCGUCAAGUAUAUCUGCUGUCUCAGGGUUCAUCCGUUUCCGCACGUUGUCUUGCAGGUAUGUUUGUAUGAGUGAGGACGUUUCCCGUCUAUGGGCUGUGUCCUCUGGUGGGUAGAGGUUAUAGAGGGAGUUGUAAUAUUCCCGGAAUUCACCUGCUAUUUCCUCAGGAUAUGGUGAUAUACUGCCCGUUGAUAAGCAAAGUUUCCUCACUUGAGUGCGUGGUGUGUCUCCUCUCAGUAGGCGGGCGAGGAAUUUCCCACCUUUAUUUGCAUGGGUGUAAAAGAAGGACCUCGAUCUUUGGAGUGAGCGGUGGUGUCUUUGCGUGAGUAGGAUCUGCAGAGUUCGUCUGGCUUCCAUCAGUUCACCAUAUGUUGAGGUUAGUUGGGAACGUUUGUGUUGGGAUUCCAGGCGUGUGAUGGAUUUAUACGCGUCUGCCAUCGCCCGGG
Pelobates cultripes (western spadefoot toad) is the source of this 476-nucleotide non-coding RNA. The record is from the annotation of a GenBank genome assembly. NCBI's taxonomy places the organism in Eukaryota, Metazoa, Chordata, Amphibia, Anura, Pelobatidae.